UGAGUGAUGAAGGCCUUCGGGUCGUAAAGCUCUUUUACCAGGGAUGAUAAUGACAGUACCUGGAGAAUAAGCUCCGGCUAACUCCGUGCCAGCAGCCGCGGUAAUAUGGAGGGAGCUAGCGUUGUUCGGAAUUACUGGGCGUAAAGAGUACGUAGGCGGCUAUUCAAGUCAGAGGUGAAAGCCCGGGGCUCAACCCCGGAACUGCCUUUGAAACUAGGUAGCUAGAAUCUUGGAGAGGUCAGUGGAAUUCCGAGUGUAGAGGUGAAAUUCGUAGAUAUUCGGAAGAACACCAGUGGCGAAGGCGACUGACUGGACAAGUAUUGACGCUGAGGUACGAAAGCGUGGGGAGCAAACAGGAUUAGAUACCCUGGUAGUCCACGCCGUAAACGA
RNAcentral lists this ribosomal RNA (390 nucleotides) under uncultured bacterium. Its description in RNAcentral is "bacterial SSU rRNA". It matches the Rfam family "Bacterial small subunit ribosomal RNA", at positions 402 to 809 of the family's 1533-position model. The record is from RNAcentral.